GACGUAGGGUGCAAGCGUUGUCCGGAUUUACUGGGCGUAAAGAGCGCGUAGGCGGCUCGUUAAGUGAGAAGUGAAAGCUCUGGGCUCAACCCAGAAACCGCUUUUCAUACUGGCAAGCUGGAGUGAUGCAGAGGUGGAUAGAAUUCCCGGUGUAGCGGUGAAAUGCGUUGAUAUCGGGAGGAAUACCCGUGGCGAAGGCGGUCCACUGGGCAUCAACUGACGCUGAGGCGCGAAAGCGUGGGUAGCAAACAGGAUUAGAUACCCUGGUAGUCCACGCCCUAAACGAUGGAUGCUAGGCGUAGGAGGUAUCGACCCCUCCUGUGCCGCAGCUAACGCACUAAGCAUCCCGCCUGGGGACUACGGCCGCAAGGUUGAA
Molecule: ribosomal RNA, 376 nt
Filed under: uncultured bacterium
Lineage: Bacteria
Description: bacterial SSU rRNA
Rfam family: Bacterial small subunit ribosomal RNA
Source: RNAcentral